CGUAGGUGGCAAGCGAUACUCGGAAUCACUAGGCGUAAAGCGCAGGUAGGCGGUUUGGUAAGUCUUUUGUGAAAGCUCCCGGCUCAACUGGGAGAGGUCAAGGGAAACUACCGGACUAGAGUGUGGUAGGGGAUACUGGAAUUCCUGGUGUAGCGGUGAAAUGCGUAGAUAUCAGGAGGAAUACCUAUGGCGAAAGCAGGUAUCUGGGCCAUCACUGACGCUGAGCUGCGAAAGCUAGGGGAGCAAACAGGAUUAGAUACCCUGGUAGUCCUAGCCCUAAACGAUGCUCAUUAGAUGUGGGAGGUAUCGACCCCUUCCGCGUCGCAGCUAACGCAUUAAAUGAGCCGCCUGGGGGAGUACGGCCGCAAGGUUG
Molecule: ribosomal RNA, 373 nt
Filed under: uncultured organism
Description: bacterial SSU rRNA
Rfam family: Bacterial small subunit ribosomal RNA
Source: RNAcentral